RNAcentral lists this ribosomal RNA (371 nucleotides) under uncultured organism. RNAcentral describes it as "partial 16S ribosomal RNA". It matches the Rfam family "Bacterial small subunit ribosomal RNA", at positions 527 to 896 of the family's 1533-position model. The record is from RNAcentral.
GUAGGUGGCAAGCGUUGUCCGGAAUUAUUGGGCGUAAAGCGCGCGCAGGCGGUUCUUUAAGUCUGAUGUGAAAGCCCAGGCUCAACCGUGGAGGGUCAUUGGAAACUGGAGAACUUGAGUACAGAAGAGGAAAGCGGAAUUCCACGUGUAGCGGUGAAAUGCGUAGAGAUGUGGAGGAACACCAGUGGCGAAGGCGGCUUUCUGGUCUGUAACUGACGCUGAGGCGCGAAAGCGUGGGGAGCAAACAGGAUUAGAUACCCUGGUAGUCCACGCCGUAAACGAUGAGUGCUAAGUGUUAGGGGGGUUUCCGCCCCCCUUAGUGCUGCAGCUAACGCAUUAAGCACUCCGCCUGGGAUACGGCCGCAAGGCUG